CACGUAGGCGGAUAUUUAGGUCAGGGGUGAAACUCCCAGAGCUCAACUCUGGAACUGCCUUUGAUACUGGGUAUCUUGAGUAUGGAAGAGGUAAGUGGAAUUCCGAGUGUAGAGGUGAAAUUCGUAGAUAUUCGGAGGAACACCAGUGGCGAAGGCGGCUUACUGGUCCAUUACUGACGCUGAGGUGCGAAAGCGGUGGGGAGCAAACA
RNAcentral lists this ribosomal RNA (209 nucleotides) under uncultured bacterium. RNAcentral's name for it is "partial 16S ribosomal RNA". It matches the Rfam family "Bacterial small subunit ribosomal RNA", at positions 568 to 774 of the family's 1533-position model. The record is from RNAcentral.